AGCUCGUAGUUGAAUCUGUGUUUCACACUGUCGGUUCACCGCUCGCGGUGUUUACUGGCAUGAUGUGGGACGUCCUACCGGUGGACUUGGCCCCUCGGGGCGGUCCAAAUAAUAUCCCAUCGCGGUGCUCUUCAUUGAGUGUCGAGAUGGGCCGGUACGUUUACUUUGAACAAAUUAGAGUGCUCAAAGCAGGCUAGCCUCGCCUGAAUACUGUGUGCAUGGAAUAAUGGAAUAGGACCUCGGUUCUAUUUUGUUGGUUUUCGGAACACCGAGGUAAUGAUUAAUAGGGACAGAUGGGGGCAUUCGUAUUGCGA
Molecule: ribosomal RNA, 314 nt
Filed under: Brachymeria sp.
Lineage: Eukaryota; Metazoa; Arthropoda; Insecta; Hymenoptera; Chalcididae
Description: SSU rRNA
Rfam family: Eukaryotic small subunit ribosomal RNA
Source: RNAcentral